CUUAAUUUCUACAAAUACCUUAAACCCUUUACUAUUAUUAAGUAAUUUUAUAAAAAUAUAAAAGUCUUCAUGCUAGAACUAGUAACAAGAAAUUGAAUUUCUCCUAAAUAUAAGCAUAAACCAAAAUGGACCAACCAUUGGUAAUUAACGUUUAUCAACUAACUAUAGCAACACCUCAAGAAAAUAUUAUAACCUCGCACGUUAACCUUACACAAGCAUAUUACAGGAAGAUUAAAAGAAUAGGAAGGAAUUCGGCAAACUUUAACCCCGCUGUUACCAAAACAUCGCUUUGAUUAAAUAUAAGAGGUCCAGCCUGCCCGGUGAAUUACUUUAACGGCCGCGGAACCAUAACCGUGCAAAGGUAGCAUAAUCAUUUGUUCCUUAAAUAGGGACUUGUAUCAACGGCAUCACGAGGGUUAUACUGUCUCCCCACUCUAAUCAGUGAAACUGACCUCCCCGUGAAGAGGCGGGGAUUAUAAUACUAGACGAGAAGACCCCAUGGAGCUUUAAACCCAAUAAUAUUCUCAACAAUGACAAUCCAUCAAAGUACAAAAGUCUAUAUCUAUUGGUUUUAGGUUGGGGUGACCACGGAGUAAAACAAAUCCUCCUUGACGAACAGGUCUUAGCCUAAUCCAAGAGUCACUACUCUAAGAAUCAAAAAUUUGACGUAAAAUGAUGCCAAAGCGAUCAACGAACCAAGUUACCCUGGGGAUAACAGCGCAAUCCGUUUCGCUUAUCGACAAACGGGUUUACGACCUCGAUGUUGGA
This 768-nucleotide ribosomal RNA is filed under the name Limnonectes ingeri (greater swamp frog). RNAcentral's name for it is "partial 16S ribosomal RNA". It matches the Rfam family "Bacterial large subunit ribosomal RNA", at positions 1511 to 2536 of the family's 2925-position model. Lineage: Eukaryota; Metazoa; Chordata; Amphibia; Anura; Dicroglossidae. The record is from RNAcentral.